Molecule: ribosomal RNA, 364 nt
Filed under: uncultured bacterium
Lineage: Bacteria
Description: partial 16S ribosomal RNA
Rfam family: Bacterial small subunit ribosomal RNA
Source: RNAcentral
CCUACGGGAGGCAGCAGUGAGGAAUAUUGGACAAUGGACGCAAGUCUGAACCAGCCAUGCCGCGUGCAGGAAGACGGCUCUAUGAGUUGUAAACUGCUUUUGUACGGGGGUAAACGCAGAUACGCGUAUCUGUCUGAAAGUAUCGUACGAAUAAGGAUCGGCUAACUACGCGCCAGCAGCCGCGGUAAUACGGAGGGUUCAAGCGUUAUCCGGAUUUAUUGGGUUUAAAGGGUGCGUAGGCGGUCGGUUAAGUUAGAGGUGAAAUCCCGAGGCUCAACUUCGGAAUUGCCUCUGAUACUGUUCGGCUAGAGUGUAGUAGAGGGAGGCGGAAUUUAUGGUGUAGCGGUGAAAUGCGUAGAGAUCA